Solanum tuberosum (potato) is the source of this 4021-nucleotide long non-coding RNA. RefSeq lists it as uncharacterized. The record is from RefSeq and is a predicted model, not a curated record. NCBI's taxonomy places the organism in Eukaryota, Viridiplantae, Streptophyta, Magnoliopsida, Solanales, Solanaceae. The transcript has 9 exons.
UCAUAGAUUUCUGGUCUGCAAUCUAAAUAGUUAUACUCCUUAACUAUGCUUCAUCUUCUCUAAUUUGAUUGUGACAGUUUGUUUCAUUUUUUCCUUGGCAUAGUAUUAUACUUGCUCAUAUUCAGCUCUGUCCGUGAUAUGUGUGCUGUCGAUAUUUUUAUUUCAGAGCAUUUGCUAUAAUUUUUGAAUGUAGAAUCUUAUGUGAGAUAAUCCCUUUUGUGGGACUGACCUUCAGGAGUUACAUUCUGCUACCAUUAUAACUGUUCUUCAUUUUUCUUUUUCUCGAUCAUUAGUACUCUAUUAAGCCUUCAAGGGGUUUGAAAGCUUCUUUGUUCACUUAUAUUUUCCAUUUCAUGUUGGCUAAAUUGAAUGAACUGAAAAUCCAACCAUCUUGGAACUUAACAAAAUAAAACAAACAAGAAGCUAGCGAAAGCUGGAUUACCUUUCUGUGUACAUAUCUCUUUUUCAGAAAUUGGCACUGACUAAAUGAAUAAUGGAUACAUUGAUAAAUAUUUUUCGUCAUUGGUAUUCUCCUAAAGAAAUUACGAUCUUCACGUGUUUUUAGUCAACGUGUUUCUCAUUAGUUUCACCUUUAUAUUUCGGUACGGUUAGAAUAAAUUGUCAUCUUUGCUUAUCGAUCAUUAAAUGUUAAAGUUGUGUAUGGACUAUAAUGUCUUAUACUUGAAGAUAAAACGAUUACUGCUAAAUUUGGAGGUGUAUGUAAAUCUUUCUGAUUGAGGCAGAUCACUUCUGUUACGCGUCCCUCUGCUAAAGUUGUGUAUAUACUUUUUUCCUACUAAUCGUUAUCUCCAAUUUCUUUUAGAUUUACAGGUAACGCAAUCUGUCACUUUCUUUUAGUUAUUUCAAAUGAGUUUUGCUUUAACCAUAUGGGUUCAGUAAUAUUUUGUACAUAUUUACUUCCUUAUGGAUUUGACAUUUCACCUUUGCUAGAUUGUGAAGAUUUUCUCUUUGACGUUUUGAAAUGUUUGUAUUUAAAAUAACAUGAUAUAUAAUUUUCAGUUUUUCUCCUUCUCUAUCCUUCAUUCACUUCUUAGACUAAAACGGUAAUAUUAAACAUUGAUGCACUAGAAAAUGAAUUCAAGAUUCCAUACAAACAUUUCUUAUAUUCACCUAUUUUAGUCUCUAUGCUCGCUUUACCUUGCAAGAUAAAUGAAAAGGAUAGAUAAUCCAUAAUGAUAUAGCCCUCUGAAAAAUGGUGUGUUGAAAUAUUCUACUUUUAAUAGGAAGUUGAUGUAUAUAAAUCUUUAUGGGCAAGCGUACAAAUCAAUUCUUAUGAUAAUACUUUAAAAGAUGACAUUAAAGUUCCAGCUGCUUCUUAAUAUUUGAGAGCGUCUUCCAAGAACUUAUGUAUAUAAAAUUCUAUUGUAGUUUACUCACUUCUGUUAGACUCUGAAUGUAAAAAUGACUUCUCCUCUGAAUAUGUUAGCAACAGAAAUCAUCUUAGUUGGAAGUAAACUUUGGUGCAAGGUAAGUACUUUUGAAUGGAUACUUAAUUUUGUGUUCCUUUUGUUGAGCUUGACACUUAGUUUGAAGAGCUUGUGCUGAAGUUUAAAAGACUCUGUAUUAAAGAUACUUGGAGUUUUCUUUCAACCAUCAGAUGAAAUCAUGUUGGUGACUUUUAUUUCGCAACUCGACAAUGAAACCAUUAAAGGUUGAGCUUAAGUUCAAUGACAAGGAGACUUCUCUAAUUUGAGCAGAAAGUGUAAGGUAGGGGGAAGCAAGGGAAUAUGGGCAGGCAGUAGCGACGAUAGAGACAAAGAGCUAUGAGAAAUUGGUGCAGGAUCUUGAAAACACUCCCUCUCUUAAGAUUAUGAAAAGGCCCUUGAGAUAUUUCGGAAUGACACUGCUAUUAUUUUCAGGUCCUGAAGAAAAAAUAUAUCUUAUAACGUUUCAAAGACCCCAAAAUGAAGGAUAAGAGAAGAGAAAAAUCAGACAAAUAAAUGGAUGACAAAAUUGGAAUGGUUAAAGUUGUGCAGUGUGUUGUAGAUGGUAUUUUCAUGACAUUUCACAUUUUUAUGUUUAAGUUUGAACUUAUUUUUUGAACAUAUGCUUGCUAUACUUUUUCAUUACUAUAAUUUUUAUAAAUCAAGUUCGUGCUAAUGUGGAGUUGAUUGAUUUAUCCUUCUACAAGUAGGAUGCUAGCUGUUAGACAACUACUACCUUUUUUCCCAUUAAUAACGCAAUUUUUAUUUCUAUGAAGAAUGAUGUUGUUUGUUGUAAGUAGUAUAUUCUUUCAUCGUGCGUCUUUAUAGCUAUAUAUAUUGAACAUCGAGUUGAACACCAAGUGGUCCUCUUUACUUGAAGUUGAUAGAAAGUAAGAUGGUGUUUUGAAUAACACUACAAGUAACUUUACUACUGGAAAGUUAGAUGAACACAACUUUUGAAUAACACUACAAGUAAGAUGGCGUUUUUAUUCUGUCAUAAAUAAAUAUUCUACCACAUGAUCGGAUGAGUAUCACUGAACAAUUAAAAGGAAUCAAACAUAUUUUGUGGAUGCCAUCUUGAAAAUAAUGUAUAUGUGUACUCAAGGAAAAACAAUGUAUGUCAGUGAGGUUUUUCAAUAGAAUAUUACUUAAAUUUGAGAAAUACAAUGAAACUUUUUUUUAUGAAUGUAUCCUCAUAUAGACAUGUUGUAGAAAUCAACCCCACAUUAUACGAUCUUUACAAUAGAAAAAUUGAUUAAAAUUCCCUUUGGUAUAAAGUAGAUCAAGAAAAGGAAUGUGUAGUACAAUUAUUGAUCUAUGAAAAAUGUUGAAUCAUUUGUACUUCUAUCCCUAUUUUGUCUUGGUCAUAUUCACUUACUUCCACGUCUUCGGUGUACUCCGCAACCUAUCUUUUUUAGUAACUACUCAGUCCAUGUUGUUGUUUUAGUUUAAUCCCAUCUAUCCUUUCUUCUUUCAUGCCCUCUUUCACUCUGCUUUGCCCGUCGCUUUCCAUCCCCCUCUUCUAUCUCAUGAUAUUGUUGUAUCUUCCUUGAUGAUAUCAGUUUCUUCAGGAUCAUUCUACUUUAAUGUGGCUGGAUCAAUCUCUUUUGUUCAGUAAGAAAAAUCUCACAAAAAGCUUGAAGUUUUGUUACAAUGAUGUGAAUCUUGAAGUUCUGUUACAACCAAAUCAUGUCAUCUCUGCUUAUUAUUAGUUCCAAGAGUUGAUUGUUUUGGGAGAUGAUUCAAAGCGCUAAUGAACUUGAACGGUGGACUUAGGUGAUUGUUUAGAAAGAAUUUGAGUUGCCAAAUUCUUUGGUGCUUUCAUGAAAUUAGCAGUGAUAUCGACGGCUGAAAAUUCAGGACUAGCAUUGGAAGCAGUUGUCCAACAAAGAUACUUGCACAAAGAGAAAGUUAAUGGUCCAGAGGUAAUGCAACGUUUUAUGAACUUCCUGAGAGGUCACUAGAUGAGCCAGUUAAUGAUGGAAUGAAAAAGCAUAUAUCAAAGGUUGUCUAAAAGAUAAAAGCACUUGCUGCUUUACAACUUUCAAGACGGAGGAGGAACAAAAAAUAGUCUAUGGUGAAUUGCUCAAGAUCCUAACUCUUCUCUUAUUGCUGCUAAUAGAGAAGGGAUCAAUUGGGAUCUGAGAUUUAGAAGGAAUAUGCACGAUUGGGAAGUGUGAUCUGGUAGACCUUUUUGCUAGACUAUAACAUUGUCACAUUAAUCUCCAGGCAGCCGAUAAGCUCAAAUGGGGACACCAGAAAGGAGUUUAUACAGUCAAGGAAGGGUAUCAACAGUUGUGCUCUAGAAACCCCGUGAUAGCUAACUGGCCCUGGAAACUCAUUUGGAGGACCAAGCUACCACCUAAGGUAGUUUUUUUUACCUGGAUAGCUCUAUAUGAGGCAUGUCUCACCUAAGACAACAUAAAGAAAAGAAAAAUCCAAUUCCCAAACAGAUGCUAUAUGUGCAAAAAAGAGGCUAAAACCCUCAGACACCUUCUUCUUGAUUGUGAGGUGGCCUCAGAAUUAUGGAGCAUGUUUUUUUGUCUCUCUGACAUCAAUUGGACCACACCCCGCAC